CCUACGGGAGGCAGCAGUGGGGAAUAUUGGGCAAUGGGCGCAAGCCUGACCCAGCAACGCCGCGUGAAGGAAGAAGGCGUUCGGGAUGUAAACUUCUUUUCGCAGGGACGAAGAAAGUGACGGGACCGGAGGAAUAAGCCAAGGCUAAGUACGUGCCAGCAGCCGCGGUAAUACUUCGGUGGCAAGAGUUAUGCGGAUUUAUUGGGUGUAAAGGGCGUGUAGGCGGGAGGGUCAGUCAGAUGUGAAAACUCAGGGCUCAACCCUGAGCCUGCCUUUGAAACGGUGUUUCUUGAGUGCUGGAGAGGCAAUCGGAAUUCCGUGUGUAGCGGUGAAAUGCGUAGAUAUACGGCGGAACACCAGUGGCGAAGGCAGAUUGCUGGACAGUAUCUGACGCUGAGGCGCGAAAGCGUGGGUAUCAAACAGGAUUAGAUACCCUUGUAGUC
Molecule: ribosomal RNA, 443 nt
Filed under: uncultured bacterium
Lineage: Bacteria
Description: partial 16S ribosomal RNA
Rfam family: Bacterial small subunit ribosomal RNA
Source: RNAcentral